ACNGRSRAHGCUGUUAAAGGCUUAGAAGAAGCCCGGHUAACUCCGUGACAACAGCCGCGGUAAUACGGAGGGGGCUAGCGUUGUUCGGAAUUACUGGGCGUAAAGCGCACCUAGGCGGACCGGAAAUUCACGAKGUGAAAUCCCAGGGCUCAACCUUKGGAACUGCCUUCCAACUCCUCCUCUUGAGGUCGAGAGAGGUGAGUGGAAUUCCGAGUGUAGAGGUGAAAUUCGUAGAUAUUCGGAGGAACACCAGUGGCGAAGGGCGGCUCAUCUGGCUCGAUACUGACGCUGAGGUGCGAAAGCUGUGGGGAGCAAACAAGGAUUGG
This 326-nucleotide ribosomal RNA is filed under the name uncultured beta proteobacterium. RNAcentral's name for it is "partial 16S ribosomal RNA". It matches the Rfam family "Bacterial small subunit ribosomal RNA", at positions 459 to 781 of the family's 1533-position model. The record is from RNAcentral. Lineage: Bacteria; Pseudomonadati; Pseudomonadota; Betaproteobacteria.